AACUUUUGGCAAUGGAUCACUUGGUUCUGGCAUCGAUGAAGAACGCAGCGAAAUGCGAUAAGUAAUGCGAAUUGCAGAAUUCAGCGAGUCAUUGAAUUUUUGAACGCACAUUGCGCCCUGUGGUAUUCCGCAGGGCAUGCCUGUUCGAGCGUCAGUACAACCCUCAAGCUUAGCUUGGUCUUGAGCCCCGCCAGUAACUCGGCAGGCUUUAAAAUUAGUGGCGGCGCCAUUGGGCUCUUAGCGUAGUAAUAUUUCUCGCUAUUGAGACCCUGUGGUAUGCUGGCCAGCAACCCCAACUUUCUAAGUUUGACCUCGGAUCAGGUAGGGAUACCCGCUGAACUUAAGCAUAUCAAUAAGCGGAGGCU
RNAcentral lists this unclassified non-coding RNA (365 nucleotides) under uncultured Chalara. RNAcentral describes it as "sequence contains ITS2". The stretch from base 1 to 154 matches the Rfam family "5.8S ribosomal RNA". Lineage: Eukaryota; Fungi; Ascomycota; Leotiomycetes; Helotiales. The record is from RNAcentral.